AUUGAACGCUGGCGGCAUGCCUUACACAUGCAAGUCGAACGGCAGCACGGGUGCUUGCACCUGGUGGCGAGUGGCGAACGGGUGAGUAAUACAUCGGCACAUGUCCUGUAGUGGGGGAUAGCCCUGCGAAAGCCGGAUUAAUACCGCAUACGAUCUACGGAUGAAAGCGGGAGACCGUCGGGCCUCGCGCUUUAGGGUUGGCCUAUGGCUGAUUAGCUAGUUGGUGGGGUAAAGGCCUACCAAGGCGACGAUCAGUAGCUGGUCUGAGAGGACGACCAGCAACACUGGAACUGAGAAACGGCCAAGAUUCCUAGGGAAGGCAGAAGGGGGGAAUUUUGGACAAUGGGAGAAAGCCUGAUCAAGCAAUGCGGGGUGGGUGAAGAAGGCCUUCGGGUUGUAAAGCACUUUUGUCGGGAAAGAAAUCAUUGGCUCUAAUACAGUCGGGGGAUGACGGUACCGGAAGAAUAAGCACCGGCUAACUACGU
Molecule: ribosomal RNA, 485 nt
Filed under: uncultured bacterium
Lineage: Bacteria
Description: partial 16S ribosomal RNA
Rfam family: Bacterial small subunit ribosomal RNA
Source: RNAcentral